Long non-coding RNA from Amborella trichopoda, 880 nucleotides. RefSeq lists it as uncharacterized. The record is from RefSeq and is a predicted model, not a curated record. NCBI's taxonomy places the organism in Eukaryota, Viridiplantae, Streptophyta, Magnoliopsida, Amborellales, Amborellaceae.
AGAGAGAGAGAGAGAGAGAGAGAGAGAGAGAGAUGGAAGAAGAGAAAAGAAGAGAUUGUCUCAUGUAACCGCUUGGUGUUGAAGCUGCUGCUCCUAGUUGUUCAUAAUGAUCAGCCACUGCAUUGGCCUCCCUGGAGAUGUGGCUGUAGACGACUCGAUCUCCCCUGCAAAAUGUAUCUCUUUAUGCGUUCUAGCAGAGCUAUUGUCUCAGCAGCAGUUGAGUCUCCAUGGACAUAAAAUGCAAUUUUCCAUAGUUGGAAACAUGCCCUCAUGGUUGCGUUAUUGUAAGAAAAUUCAUGGGCUUCUUUCUGGCUUCUCUCUGUGUUUCUAUCAUAGUCAAGUCUUCAAGUGGAAAGAUACAGAGGCUGCAUUUCCUUCACUCCCAAGAUGGUAUUGGUGGUUUUGGAUAAGGGAAAUGUCAAAAUAUCAGAAUUUGGUUUUGUAAUUGGAUGAUUUACACAGGCAGUUUGUGUGAAUGCUAGCUGUGAUCUUCGAGAGUAUGAUGCAAUUUCAUUGGAGUCUGGUUAUUAUUGGGGUCUCAAGUGGUCAUCUGAUAUUGGUGGGAUUCGCCCUGUUCCAUUACCUGAACUCUCUUUGCUAAAUCUGGUUUGGGACCUUUUCGUAUUCAACCAUGCCCCAAGCUUAUAUUAUGAACAGGCGAAAGAGUUUUUUCAUGAACAGGAGUGCAAACUUGAUAGACAUUUCUUGCCAUUGUCAUCGAGUUAUUUCCAUUGUAGAUACAAAGUUGUUGCUGCUACAAAUUCAUGAUUCUGUAAAAAAAAAAAACGUCUCUCUCUAGCCCUGCAGUGAGAUUGCAGUGGAUUUGUACCAAUUGUGAGCUGUAACAUAUUAUCCAAAUGCUGGUGGUCAGUUUCUCUUA